AUUGAACGCUGGCGGCAGGCCUAACACAUGCAAGUCGAACGGUAACAGGAAGCAGCUUGCUGCUUCGCUGACGAGUGGCGGACGGGUGAGUAAUGUCUGGGAAACUGCCUGAUGGAGGGGGAUAACUACUGGAAACGGUAGCUAAUACCGCAUAACGUCGCAAGACCAAAGAGGGGGACCUUAGGGCCUCUUGCCAUCGGAUGUGCCCAGAUGGGAUUAGCUAGUAGGUGGGGUAACGGCUCACCUAGGCGACGAUCCCUAGCUGGUCUGAGAGGAUGACCAGCCACACUGGAACUGAGACACGGUCCAGACUCCUACGGGAGGCAGCAGUGGGGAAUAUUGCACAAUGGGCGCAAGCCUGAUGCAGCCAUGCCGCGUGUAUGAAGAAGGCCUUCGGGUUGUAAAGUACUUUCAGCGGGGAGGAAGGGAGUAAAGCUAAUACCUUUGCUCAUUGACGUUACCCGCAGAAGAAGCGCCGGCUAACUCCGUG
Molecule: ribosomal RNA, 490 nt
Filed under: uncultured bacterium
Lineage: Bacteria
Description: partial 16S ribosomal RNA
Rfam family: Bacterial small subunit ribosomal RNA
Source: RNAcentral